UGAACAACCCAUUUAGGGUUCCAACAAAAUAAAGCACAACAGCAGACUCGCAGCCUCGUAGGUAUCAAACAAGAACAACAGCGCCUCCACCCUCACCCUCCUCCCUCCGGUUGUCCUCCUCCUUCUAGCGACCACCUCACCGUCCUCCCUGCAAUGUAAGGAACCAAGCAGAAGGUUUGUAAUAUUUAGCGAAACUGCAAUGGAAGGAACCAAGCAGAAGGUUGUGUUAUCGAUUCUGGUGGCGAAAAGCCGAGGAAUUUGGGGUAAAUCAGGGAAAAUUAGAAAGGGUCAGAUGGCUAAACCUAGGGUUCUUGCAAUCACCGGCAACGCAAGUGAGGCGUCGGGACGUCAAGCCGGUGCGGACACUCACAUGAAAGGAAAGCUCUAAGCUUUUAGGAUGAUGCAAGCAUGUGGAUGAUGAUCAAGUCAAUGCUAUCGAACCGAACACUAUCAAGAUCUUGUUCCACAACCUUUGUUGUUAUAUGUAGUUAAUCAAACUUGUGUAGUCAUGGGAAUACUUAUGUAUCUUAACGAUGUUUUUGAAUGUUGUUAAUUUAGUAACUACUAAGAUAAAUAUUCAUGUAAAUGUUUUGGCUUAACGCUUAUAAAGAUUAGUUCUAUCU
Molecule: long non-coding RNA, 623 nt
Organism: Helianthus annuus (common sunflower)
Lineage: Eukaryota; Viridiplantae; Streptophyta; Magnoliopsida; Asterales; Asteraceae
Exons: 3
Source: RefSeq, a predicted model, not a curated record